UACACUCCUACGGGAGGCAGCAGUAGGGAAUCUUCGGCAAUGGGGGCAACCCUGACCGAGCAACGCCGCGUGAGUGAAGAAGGUUUUCGGAUCGUAAAGCUCUGUUGUAAGUCAAGAACGAGUGUGAGAGUGGAAAGUUCACACUGUGACGGUAGCUUACCAGAAAGGGACGGCUAACUACGUGCCAGCAGCCGCGGUAAUACGUAGGUCCCGAGCGUUGUCCGGAUUUAUUGGGCGUAAAGCGAGCGCAGGCGGUUUGAUAAGUCUGAAGUUAAAGGCUGUGGCUCAACCAUAGUUCGCUUUGGAAACUGUCAAACUUGAGUGCAGAAGGGGAGAGUGGAAUUCCAUGUGUAGCGGUGAAAUGCGUAGAUAUAUGGAGGAACACCGGUGGCGAAAGCGGCUCUCUGGUCUGUAACUGACGCUGAGGCUCGAAAGCGUGGGGAGCGAACAGGAUUAGAUACCCUGGUAGUCCCA
RNAcentral lists this ribosomal RNA (474 nucleotides) under uncultured organism. RNAcentral's name for it is "partial 16S ribosomal RNA". It matches the Rfam family "Bacterial small subunit ribosomal RNA", at positions 332 to 797 of the family's 1533-position model. The record is from RNAcentral.